UACAGAGGGGGCAAGCGUUGUUCGGAAUUACUGGGCGUAAAGGGCGCGUAGGCGGCCUUCUAAGUCGAACGUGAAAUCCCCGGGCUCAACCCGGGAACUGCGUCCGAUACUGGAAGGCUUGAAUCCGGGAGAGGGAUGCGGAAUUCCAGGUGUAGCGGUGAAAUGCGUAGAUAUCUGGAGGAAUACCGGUGGCGAAGGCGGCAUCCUGGACCGAUAUUGACACUGAUGAGCGAAAGCCAGGGGAGCAAACGGG
This 253-nucleotide ribosomal RNA is filed under the name uncultured bacterium. Its description in RNAcentral is "partial 16S ribosomal RNA". It matches the Rfam family "Bacterial small subunit ribosomal RNA", at positions 524 to 776 of the family's 1533-position model. The record is from RNAcentral.